RNAcentral lists this ribosomal RNA (103 nucleotides) under Agaribacter marinus. Lineage: Bacteria; Pseudomonadati; Pseudomonadota; Gammaproteobacteria; Alteromonadales; Alteromonadaceae. The record is from RNAcentral.
UGGCGACCAUAGCGAUACGGUCCCACCUGAUCCCAUCUCGAACUCAGUAGUGAAACGUAUUAGCGGCGAUGGUAGUGUGGGGAUUCCCCAUGUGAGAGUAGCA